Molecule: long non-coding RNA, 8975 nt
Filed under: Zea mays
Lineage: Eukaryota; Viridiplantae; Streptophyta; Magnoliopsida; Poales; Poaceae
Description: long non-coding RNA (ZMAY_LNC003636)
Source: RNAcentral
GAAACUGAAAGCAAGUUGUAAUCUAAAGAAUCUAUAAGAAAAACAUUGGAAAUAGAAUGGUCAGGAGAUAUAGCAAUUUUACCCAAUCCUUUGACCAAACCUUGAUUUCCAUCCCCGAAUGUGAUAGCUCGUUGGGGAUCUUGGUUUUUCUCGUAGGAGGAGAACAUCUUCUUCUCCCCUGUCAUGUGGUUUGUGCACCCGCUAUCGAUGAUCCAACUUGAGCCCCCGGAUGCAUAAACCUACAAAACAAGUUUAGUUCUUGACUUUAGGUACCCAAAUGGUUUUGGGUCCUUUGGCAUUAGAUACAAGAACUUUGGGUACCCAAACUCAAGUCUUUGAUCCCUUGUGUUUGCCCCCAACAUAUUUGACAACUACCUUGCCGGAUUUGUUAGUUAAAACAUAAGAUGCAUCAAAUGUUUUAAAUGAGAUGCUAGGUUUAUUUGAUGCAUUAGGAGUUUUCUUCUUAGGCAAUUUUGCAUGGGUUGAUUGCCUAGAACUAGAUGUCUCACCCUUAUACAUAAAAGCAUGGUUAGGGCCAGAGUGAGACUUCCUAGAAUGAAUUCUCCUAAUUUUGCUCUCGGGAUAACCGGCAGGGUACAAAAUGUAACCCUCGUUAUCCUGAGGCAUGGGAGCCUUGCCCUUAACAAAAUUAGAUAAUCUUUUAGGAGGGGCAUUAAGUUUGACAUUGUACCCCUUUUGGAAGCCAAUGUCGUCCUUGAUGCCAGGGCGUCUCCCAUUAUAGAGCAUGCUUCUAGCAAAUUUAAAUUUUUCAUUUUCUAAGUCAUGCUCAUUAAUCUUAGCAUUAAGUUGAGCUAUGUGAUCAUUUUGUUUCUUAAUUAAAGCUAGGUGAUCAUGAAUAGCAUCAACAUUAAUAUCUCUACAUCUAGUACAAGUGGAAGUAUGCUCAACGGUAAAUGUAGAGGGUUUGCAAGAUUUUAAUUCUACAACCUUAGCAUGUAAUAUAUCAUUUUCACUUUUAAGGUUAGAAAUAGUAAUAUUGCAAAUAUCAAAAUCUUUAGCCUUAGCAAUUAAUUUUUCAUUUUCAUCUCUAAGGCUAGCAAGAGAGAUAUUCAAUUCUUCAAUCUUAGCAAGCAAAUUGGCAUUAUCAUUUCUAAGAUUGGAAAUUGAAUCAUCACAAAUAUUAGAAUCAACCUUAGUAAUAAGUUUAGCAUUUUCAUUUCUAAGAUUGGUAAUAGUAUCAUGGCAGGGGCUUAGCUCACUAGAUAAUUUUUCACAUUUUUCUACUUCUAGAGCAUAAGCAUUUUUCACCUUAACAUGCUUCUUAUUUUCCUUAAUUAGGAAGUCCUCUUGAGAGUCCAAGAGAUCAUCCUUCUCAUGAAUAGCACUAAUUAAUUCAUUCAACUUUUCUUUUUGUUGCAUGUUAAGGUUGGCAAAAAGGGUGCGCAAAUUAUCCUCCUCAUCACUAGCAUUAUCCUCAUCACUAGAGGUUUCAUAUUUGGUGGAGGAUUUUGAUUUUACCUUCUUCCUUUUGCCAUCCUUUGCCAUGAGGCACUUGUGGCCGACGUUGGGGAAGAGAAUACCCUUGGUGACGGCGAUGUUUGCGGCGUCCUCGUCGGAGGAGUCGGUAGAGCUCUCGUCGGAGUCCCAUUCCCGACAAACAUGGGCAUCGCCGCCCUUCUUCUUGUAAUACCUCUUCUUCUCCUUUCUUCUCCCCUUCUUAUCGUCGCCCCUGUCACUAUCACUAGAUAAUGGACAUUUUGCAAUAAAAUGACCGGGCUUACCACAUUUGUAGCAAACUUUCUUGGAGCGGGAUUUGUAGUCCUUUCCCCUCCUUUGCUUGAGGAUUUGGCGGAAGCUCUUGAUGAUGAGCGUCAUCUCCUCAUUGUCAAGCUUUGAGGCGUCGAUUGGUUGUCUACUUGAUGUAGACUCCUCCUUCUUCUCUUCCGUUGCCUUGAAUGCUACCGGUUGAGCUUCGGGUGUGGAGGGGCCAUCUAGCUCGUUAAUUUUCUUUGAGCCUUUGAUCAUCAAUUCAAAGCUCACAAAGUUUCCUAUCACUUCCUCGGGAGUCAUUAGUGUAUAUCUAGGAUUACUACGAAUUAAUUGAACUUGAGUAGGGUUAAGGAAAACAAGUGAUCUAAUAAUAACCUUAACCAUCUGUCACACCCGGCUUUAAGGAACAAAGUCAGGUGCAUCUCAUACAUGCGCCAAGAAGACAACAUAUAUAAUAACAGAGUGUAUAGAGAUAAAUGUCACAAUAAUCAGAGUAUUUAUUACAUAGCGGAAGACUUAUUACAAAAUAAAAUAAUAAAUAUAAAACAAACUAAGGAUCGUUGGCGCCAAUGUCAACUGAGAAACGCCACCUAGAUCAGAUCAUACUCCUCGCCUUGUGGCUCCUCCUGAACCACCUGUUCUUCUCCUGUGGGGGGGUGUGAGACAGCAAGAGUGAGCUCACAUACGUUCAUAGCUCAACAAGUUGUGGGGAAUAAUGUGGCAUGAAUUCACCAAAGGUGGGAAUUCAUGAAAUGUAAGGCUAAUCAAUGAAGUAAAGGCUGAGGCUGAGCAUUGCUUUUAUAAGCUGGUCAAAAUUUUAUUAGCAAUUACUAAGUGUAAGUAAAUACCAAACCUUAAUAAUAAUAAAGAACAGUAAUAGUAAAAUAACCCCAAAUGCGAUGCAAAUGUCAAAUUGAAUUUAAGUUCCAUAAAUUAAUCAUGUGAGGGUCCGAGCCGCUCAUGACCGUGAGCACGGCUAGUAUACCAGUUUUACACUCUGCAGAGGUUGCGCAUCUUUACCCACAAGUCAUGUUACCCAUCUGCCAAGAGAUGGCCAAUCCCAUACACCUCUACCGAGGAGGCGAGGCAGGGUAACACUACGAGGCCUUUACAAAGUUCCACUAGCUUCAGAAAUCCCGCUACAGUUUAUAGGAAGCUCCAAUGCAGGGUUCUUGCCUGACCGCCAUCACAACAAAAUCAACCAAGGACCUCCCUACACUGACCACUCCCCUACUGCCCUUGCCCCUUUCGGGUAAGGAAGACCUCCACUAGCUUUCCUAGUUAAUCAGCCAAGGGCGUCCCAUUAUACCCUUGUGGUAGCACUGUUUUCCCGGGUGGUCGCUCCAUGUUCCCAUUAACAUAAUGAUCUUAACAUGAACAGUAAUAAUAAAAGAGAAUAAAAGAGUAAUUAUGAAUAAAGUAUCUUCAUACCCAAAUCCACAUAAAGCAAUAGCAGGUACUACCCAAAGAAAUAAUUCAGUGGUGAACAAGGUAUAAAGAUAGCCAAAACUAGGGUAACCUAUUGGGUCCCAUCAAAAUUAUCCUAUGCAGAUCAUUAUAAUUAAUAAGAACAUGGCUGGGAAAAAGUAAGUGAUCAAGGGCACAACUUGCCUUCAAUGAGCUCCUGCUCAGCUACUUCUACUUGUUGAACCUCAGGAUCCAUAGUGGCUUGCUCGUCUACUCGCAUAAACACAAUACAUACAUAGUAUAGCAUAAAUUAACAUCACAUAAAACAUGCAAAUAAAAUACACAGUAAAAAUCUACACAUUAAAAUGAGAUCAUAGGAACUGGAAUCACUAAAUUUGGAGUUAUAGAUUUCAAGUUAUGAAUUUCCUAAGGUUUAAUGUGAUUAAAAUAGGAUUAGAUGAGAAAUUAAUUUUCUUACUGUUUUCAUGUUAAAACAGAGACACUAAAUGAUAGAGAAUAAAAUUACAAAAUUUUAGGAACUGGAAUGGUUCAAUUUGGAGUUCAUAUGAAUUUUCUACAAUUUAAACAAGUUUCUGCAUUUAAAUAUGUGCUAAAACUAUUUUCUAAAUGAUUUUCCCUGUUUUAUUAAUUAUCUGGACUGGGCGUCAUUUUCUGGUAAGCACAGGGUUCUCAGUGUAAGUUUUCUAAGACAUAGAGCACAGUACGAGUGGAUGGCGGGUUGAUUACUGCUUUCCUCGGGGACCCUUUAACAAAACGUACCCGCGAAGGGGUAUCGGCUCACUCUGGCCGUUGGAUCAGAGAUCGAGCGCCCAGAUCAGCCUACUCACUCCAUGAAUCGGUAUUUGAUCCCAGCCGUUGGAUCCCCCAUCAGUGGCCCUGCUUUAAUGAGCCCCAGUGCGAGUAAUAUCCAUCCGAUCCUGAUUGGACGGUCGUUGUGCAAUCACAGCGAACCGGUACGUGAGGUCUAAUCCGAGCCGUUCAUCGCCGAACUGACGGCGGCAAAGUUCUCCCCCCAACCCCGACGGCGAGCGCGGCGGCGCAGGGCUGUGGCACGGUGGCGCCAUUGCCGCCCGCGACCAAACUACGCCCUAGCGCACUAUUCUAAAAUCAAAAUGGUGCACUACGUAGAUGAGGGGGUAGCGAAUGUGGUAAAAGGGUCUUUACCGAAGGUUGGAGCGCCGAGAAGGGUUGGCCACGGAGCACCGACGGAUCACCGAGUUCUUCCGAUUCCGGCGAGCAAUUCGCGGGUGUCCAGUUGACGAUCCCGCCGCCAGAGCCACAGAAUACUCCUUGAUGGCUUGCGCAAGCCCCCGAACUACACGUAGCGCCCACUGGAGGACCAGAGAGGAUUCACCGACGGCGGUCGAUGGAAUCCGCGGUGGCGCGAAACUCUUCUCCUCUUUCUCUCUCGGAUUUGCGAUGCGGUUGGGGUCUCCAGGUUAUGGACUAGCGCGGACGGGUCCAGGGUUGUUAUACGGCGCAGGCGAGGUCCGAGGGCGGUCAGCAGCCCGGCGUUCUCGCGGCGGUCGUUGCGGCGAAGACUUCGCGAGCUCGGUUGCGAAGGAGAGGGAUGACAACGUGGCCCCACCUGUCGGCGCACGCAGAAGGAGGGCAAGUUGGGCCGCGCGCGCGCUGAAUGAAACAGUGGGCCGAAAUCCCCGCCGCCGGCCCACCGGCGACCUCAUCUCUUUUCCUUUUCUUUUUCUGAUUUUCUUUCUCUCUCCUCUAUUUCCAAAUUUAAAUUUUGAAUUCAAAUUUAAAUUCAAGCUUGUGCUACAUUAAUCCCUUUUACUUCUGUGAAAUUAAAAAAAACCAGUUUUAAAAUAUAAUUAUAUUAUUUAUAUUUUUAUAUACUUUCUCUUCUUCUCUUUUUCAAAACCCAAAUUUUAAUUUAGGUUUUAAUUCAACUUCUAGUAAUUAUUAUCUUAUUAUCAUUAGCAUUAUUAUUUCAUUUAAUGCACAAACAUAUAAACUCCAGCAUGAUGCAUUUUUUUAUCAUUUGUUUGACUUAAUCUCUAAAUGGUGUGUGAGCUCUUUUCUUAUGAUGCAAAUGAGGCACAUAAAAUGAAGAAAUCACUAUAUAUUCCAUGUAUACAAUUUUGAGUAUUACAAAUCCUACCCCCCUUAAAAAUAAUCUCGUCCUCGAGAUUUAGGAAGAUCUAGAGAAAAGGUGAGGAAAAUCUAUGCGAAGCUCUUCUUCUCUUUCCCAAGUUGCUUCAUCUUCACCGUGGUGGCUCCAUUGCACUUUGCACAUCUUUAUAACCUUAUUCCUCGUAACUCGAGUCAAUGUAUCAAGAAUCUUGAUGGGGUACUCAGCAUAAGUCAAAUCCUCUUGAACACUAAGGUCUUCCAUUGGUAACUGUUCUUCAGGCACCCUGAGACAUUUCUUCAGCUGAGAUACAUGAAAGACAUCAUGAACAUCCGCAAGGUGAUCCGGUAACUCCAAUUGAUAUGCAACCUCACCCACUCGCUUUAAGAUUAAGAAGGGUCCAAUAAAGCGAGGGGACAACUUUCCUUUGACUUUAAAUCUUCUCAUACCCCUGAGUGGUGACACCUUCAAAUAGACAUAAUCUCCCUCCUUAAACUCGAGCUGUCUCCUUCGAGUAUCAGCAUAGCUUUUCUGCCUGGAUUGUGCAGUUCUCAAAUUCUCCCUUAUUUGCUGAACUUGUUCCUCUGCUUCUUGUAUAAUCUCAGGUCCAAAUAACUACCUUUCACCAGUUUGAUCCCAAUACAGUGGAGUCCUGCACUUUCUGCCACACAAAGCCUCAAACGGUGACAUCUUCAAACUGGCCUGAUAGCUAUUAUUAUAAGAGAACUUCGCAUAAGGCAAACUCUUAUCCCAACUUCCACCAUGUUUAAGAGCACAAGCUCUUAACAUAUCCUCUAGCACUUGGUUGGUCCUCUUAGUCUGCCCAUCAGUCUGUGGAUGGUAAGACGAACUAAAAUUCAAUCUCGUAUCCAAUGACUCGUGCAACUUCUUCCAAUACCGAGAGGUAAACUGUGAUCCCCGGUCUGACACAAUCUUCUUUGGCACACCAUGUAGGCAAACAAUCCGUGCCAUGUACAACUCUGCUAACUUGGCUCCUGAAUACGUGGUCUUCACUGGAAUAAAGUGGGCUACUUUAGUUAGCCUGUCCACAAUCACCCAUAUAGAAUCAUAUCCAGCAGACGUGCGGGGUAAUCCAACAAUGAAGUCCAUGCCAAUCUCUUCCCAUUUCCGCUCGGGUAUCUUAAGUGGACGCAGUAGUCCAGCAGGCCUCUGGUGUUCAGCCUUAACUCUUUGACACCCAUCGCACAUAGCCACAUGUGCAGCCACAUCUCUCUUCAAUCCAUACCACCAAUAUUUUUGCUUCAAAUCCUGAUACAUCUUAGUACUCCCAGGGUGAAUAGAAUAAACUGAGUCAUGUGCCUCCUUCAAUAUGGUUUCCCGAAGACUAUCAAUAUCGGGAACACAGAUCCGAUUCUUGAACCAUAUCGUGCCUUGCUCAUCCUCUGUGAAUUCCGGGCCUCUACCCUCUGUCAUUAGAUCCUUGAUCUCCUGGAUUUUAGCAUCACCAACCUGACCUUUACGAAUUUCUUGCUCCAAGGUAGGUUCCAAUUCAAUGGUAAUUCCUUCCGUAUGUGUAACAAUCCCCAGGUUGAGUCUCUCAAAAUCUUUUGCUAAUUCAUCAGGUAGUUGGACAACGAAAGCGGAGUGAACAUGCUCCUUCCGACUCAAGGCAUCUGCAACCAAAUUUGCCUUGCCUGGGUGAUAGUGAAUUUCCAAAUCAUAAUCCUUAAUGAGCUCCAACCAACGGCGUUGCCUAAGGUUGAGAUCCUUCUGAGUGAAUAUGUACUUCAAGCUCUUAUGAUCCGUGUAUACUUGGCACUUAGUUCCCAUAAUGUAGUGUCUCCAAAUCUUAAGUGCAUGCACAACUGCUGCCAGCUCCAAGUCAUGAGUGGGGUAGUUCAAUUCGUGUUUCCGCAACUGACGAGAUGCAUAGGCAAUCACAUGACCUUCUUGCAUGAGCACACAUCCAAGUCCUUGGCCACAUACAUCACAAUAAAUGUCAAAUCCCUUCUGUAGAUCUGGCAUAAUCAAUACUGGCGGAGACAUCAAUCUCUCCUUCAAUUGAUCAAAGCUUUCUUGGCAUUUCUUAUCCCACUUGAAUUCUCUUCCUUUCUCCAACAGCGUUGUCAUAGGCUUGGCAAUCUUAGAGAACCCUUCAAUAAAUCUCCGGUAAUAUCCUGCGAGUCCCAAGAAUCUUCGGACUUCAGUAACUGUAGUGGGUAUGCUUCACACCACUAUCUCCUUGACUUUAGCAGGAUCCACUAAUAUCCCUCCAUUAGAAAUAAUAUGUCCAAGGAAUGGCACCUCGUCAAUCCAAAACUCGCAUUUACUGUACUUGGCGUAGAGUUGAUUAUCUCGUAGCUUCUGUAGCACCAAUCUCAGAUGUUCCUCAUGAUCAUUAUCACUCUUGGAAUAACUAAAAAUAUCGUGAUGAAAACCACGACGAAUCUGUCCAGAUCAUGAACACCUUAUUCUUCUGAUCCAUAAAAUAGGCUGGUGCAUUAGUUAGUCCAAAUGACAUAAUAGUGAACUCAUAUAAACUAUAUAGGGUCAAGAAAUCCGUCUUGGAAUUAUCCGAUGGUCUAAUCUUCAUUUGAUGGUAACCCGAUCGGAGAUCAAUCUUCGAGAAUACCCUUGCACAUCUCAUCUGAUUAAAUAAAUCCUUAAUGCAUGGUAAUGGACACUUGUUCUUCACAGUGACGUUGUUAAGGGACCUAUAAUCCACGCACAUCCCUUGCAAUCCAUCAUUCUUCUGUACGAACAAAACCGAUGCUCUCCAAGGUGAAGACUCGGACGAAUGUACCCAGCCUCUUGUAACUUCGUUAAGUGCUUCUUGAGUUCUUUUAACUCUUCUACAUACAUCCUAUAUGGCCGUUUAGAAAUAGGAGCAGUUCCAUGUAAGAGAUCUAUGACAAACUCAACUUCCGUAUUUGGUGGCAUCCCUGGUAACUCCACUGGAAAGACAUCCGGAAAAUCCUUAACCACACGAAUGUUGUCACCAACAAACUUCCCAUCGACUAAGAAUGCCGCUAGUCUGAUGGUGGUAGUUACUGCAACUUCAACUUCAAAUCUUUGUCCUUUGGAACUGGUGGGUUCUAUGGUUCCUUUAGCACAAUGUAUAGACUACCUUUGCCUUUCUUAACCAUGACAUACCAAGGAUCACGUCUAUAGUGCUCUCUUCUAACACUAUAGGGGUAGCCCAUCAGGGUUAGAAAUACAAGGUACGAAAGAAAGGAUUGUAGACAAGGCGAGUAAUUACGAAUCAUGUUACUUUGGGGGAUUCAUUAGUUAAGUGUGUUGCCUACUAAAGCUAAUUCAUUACCUUAUGGUGGUACAUGCUAAGAUGUCCGUCUAUACUAUUUCAAUCAAUCAAAGAAGCAAAUCAGACAUUGAUCAUCAGAACAAUCAACCAACAUUUUUAAUAGAGAAAAUAAUUUUAAUUUUUUUCUUAGGUCUCCUAUCUCUUAAGAAGUUCAUAAAUGUAGGAUUCCAAGGUGUGAAAUCCAUCUUGUCUCGGAGUAGAAAAGGUAAGAAUCAUAAGAGUAGAACAAUAGAAGUUGAGACAAGAUCAAGAUAAGUAUAGAGAGAAUCAGAGUAAGGUAAGUAUAGAAUGAAUCUGAAUAAGAUAAGUAGGUAAGGGUUUGUCCAUUUCUAUCUAGGUUUCGUCCUACAGUCAACAUUUCCUCUGAUACCACUUCUGUCACACCCGGCUUUAAGGAACAAAGUCAGGUGCAUCUCAUACAUGCGCCAAGAAGACAACAUAUAU